UACGUAGGGGGCAAGCGUUGUCCGGAUUUAUUGGGCGUAAAGAGCGUGUAGGCGGUUUGGUAGGUCCGCUGUGAAAACUCGAGGCUCAACCUCGAGACGCCGGUGGAAACCAUCAGACUAGAGUCCGGAAGAGGAGAGUGGAAUUCCUGGUGUAGCGGUGAAAUGCGCAGAUAUCAGGAGGAACACCAGCGGCGAAGGCGGCGCUCUGGGCCGGUACUGACGCUGAGACGCGAAAGCGUGGGGAGCGAACAGG
Molecule: ribosomal RNA, 253 nt
Filed under: uncultured bacterium
Lineage: Bacteria
Description: partial 16S ribosomal RNA
Rfam family: Bacterial small subunit ribosomal RNA
Source: RNAcentral